This is an RNA transcript of Cucumis melo (muskmelon), 2154 nucleotides long. RefSeq lists it as uncharacterized. The transcript is spliced from 2 exons. Lineage: Eukaryota; Viridiplantae; Streptophyta; Magnoliopsida; Cucurbitales; Cucurbitaceae. The record is from RefSeq and is a predicted model, not a curated record.
UAAAGUUUUCAACUAAGGAAACGUGUUGCAGUUAUGGAAGAAUUUAAAGUGAACAAGAAUGAGUUGGGAGAGGUUUGUUAACUCAAUUCUUAGAAUUGCUUGAAUUGUGUGAAUUGAGUUGUUUAGGAAUGAGGCCCCUUGGGAUAUUUAUAGACUCACGUGGCGGACAUUAGGGCAUUGAGGUCGGUCAUGACUUCUUCUAGAGCACUAAAUUGCUAAAUUGCACCCAAGUAUGCCUUGCGUUUCUCACUCUCCUCCUCAUCCUCGCGGUUUUGAGAGGUAGAGAUGUUUUAUUAGCAAAUCUACAGAGAGAGAGUAGAGUACAGUAGAGUGAAAGUAAAAUAGCAUAAACUUACCGAACCUUCGAAUUUUGGUUCAAUAACUCCCUCCCUCCUCUAAGUCUCCUUAGCCCGAAUCUCGUCCCUUUUUUUAUUUUUAUUUUUAUUUUUAUUUUUGCUGCAAAUCUUACGAUUGAAUCAUCUACAAGCAACAAUCUCCUGAAAUGAUUUCCGCUAUCAAUCUCCGUCCACCUCGUGGCGAGAUUCACAAUUUCCGAUUCCAACCUUCGCCGUCGCCGACCCUUUUCCGGAACCGAAUGCCCCGCCAAAUCACGUACUGCAGAAAGAAACUCAGCGACGCGGAUCUGGCCUCCGAUCUUGCAACGGAAGUGGCAAAAAUUAACACUAAUUUGAUUCAGAGAGAGGAGGCGAUGAAGAAGAGCAGAGCGUUUUUGUUUACAGAGCUGUGCGAAUUUCUAGGGCUAAAAUCGGAGGAGACGAAGAGAAAGUGGAAGAAGAUGGAGGAAGAGGCGAAAUUGAGAUUGGUUAAAGAGUUUGUUUCGGAGUGGGGGUUCAAUUUUCAGCCAUUGUCGGGUAGGUGUGUGAAGGAAAUGGUGGAAGAAUAUGUUAAUGGAGAAAAUUUGUAUGGGAUUUCUUCUGCGUCCUCGUUGAUUUCUUCGUUGAAGAAAACGAUGGGAUUGUGAAACACAGAUAAUUAGAUGCAUUCAUGGGAUGAAUUUUGCAUUAGGGUCUUUAAUUCCCAAAUUCCAUUGAGAUAUUGUAAUGGGAUAUCGGUUCUGAACAAGGGUGACUAUGUGAGGCCUAUAGACAAAGCUCUCAUCUCCUUGAUUCCCAAAGUCAAGAAGCCUAAACAUAUGUCAGAGUUUCGUCGUGCAACGUAAGCUAUAAAAUUAUUGCUAAAUCUUUGGCCAGUAGACUUGAAAGAGUUCUCGUUGUUAUUAUCUCACAUAAUCAAUUUGUCUUUCUUCCGGGAAGGUUAAUCACUAACAACGCUACCAUGGGCUUCAAGUGCAUUCAUGAUAUAAAUAACAAAAAAGUGGGGGUGGGUGGCCCUUAAGCUGGAUAUGAACAAGGCCUAUGACAGGGUUGAGUGACCUUUUCUGCAUGCUAUGCUUCUUUUCAUUGACCUCAACAUAGAAUGAGUGAGGACUAUUAUGAAUUGUGUGGAAUCAAUUUGUUUCUCGGUCCUUAUCAAUGGUAAGCCCUCCCUGAGGGAAUUUGCCCUUCAUAUAGGGGUCUUAAUCAAGGGAUCCUCUAUCUCCUCCUUACCUUUUCCUAAUCUGCACGGAAUGUUUGUCGAGCCUCCUUCAUAGAGCCUAGUCUCUGUCCCUUAUUCAUGGUCUUCGUCUCAAUAUACGUUGCCCUUUAAUUUUUCACUUAUUUUUUUGCUGAUGAUAGUCUUGUCGUCCUUAAAACGUGAAUCUUUGAGUGCAGGAGUAUGCCCUUCAGGUGUAUGAAAGAGCAUUCAGACAAAAAAUCGACAUUGACAAGUCUGAAUGCCUUGUUAACAAGAAUGUAAGAUCGCAGUUGGCUGAUGAGACUUGUGAGCUUCUUGGGGUGAGGAAAUAGAAUUCCUUGGGUACCUAUGGACCUUGGGAUGCCGGCUCAUAACUUCACGAAUAAAUCUCGUCUAUUUAAUAUGGUGAAGGAUAGAGUAUGGUAAGUCCGUAAGUGCUUGGGUGGAAGGAGAACCUUUUCUCGCUCAGUGGCAAAAAAGAGGCUAUUGCUCAAGCUAUUUCCUAAUUCCUAAUUACAUGAUAUUUUAAGGAUAUGUAAAAUAAUAUCUCCCUAUGAAAGUCAUAGUUUUAGUCGAUACAAUCCGUAAGGCUUAAUGGUAUAAAUUGGUUUUUUAAAA